Molecule: ribosomal RNA, 253 nt
Filed under: uncultured bacterium
Lineage: Bacteria
Description: partial 16S ribosomal RNA
Rfam family: Bacterial small subunit ribosomal RNA
Source: RNAcentral
UACGUAGGGUGCGAGCGUUAAUCGGAAUUACUGGGCGUAAAGCGUGCGCAGGCGGUUCGUUGUGUCGGUGGUGAAAUCCCCGGGCUUAACCUGGGAAUGGCCAUGGAAACUGGCUGGCUAGAGUGUGGCAGAGGGGGGUGGAAUUCCGCGUGUAGCAGUGAAAUGCGUAGAGAUGCGGAGGAACACCGAUGGCGAAGGCAGCCCCCUGGGCUAGCACUGACGCUCAGGCACGAAAGCGUGGGGAGCAAACAGG